RNAcentral lists this ribosomal RNA (305 nucleotides) under uncultured bacterium. RNAcentral's name for it is "bacterial SSU rRNA". It matches the Rfam family "Bacterial small subunit ribosomal RNA", at positions 335 to 657 of the family's 1533-position model. The record is from RNAcentral.
UUGCCUACGGGGGGCAGCAGUGGGGAAUAUUGCACAAUGGGGGAAACCCUGAUGCAGCGACGCCGCGUGAGUGAGGAAGUAUUUCGGUAUGUAAAGCUCUAUCAGCAGGGAAGAAAAUGACGGUACCUGACUAAGAAGCCCCGGCUAACUACGUGCCAGCAGCCGCGGUAAUACGUAGGGGGCAAGCGUUAUCCGGAUUUACUGGGUGUAAAGGGAGCGUAGACGGAGGAGCAAGUCUGAUGUGAAAAUCCGGGGCCCAACCCCGGGAGUGCAUUGGAAACUGCCAGGCUGGAGUGUCGGAGGGG